CCCUUAGAUGUUCUGGGCUGCACGCGCGCUACACUGAAGCGUUCAACGAGUAUUCACCUUGCCCGGGAGGGUUGGGUAAUCUUUUGAAAACGCUUCGUGAUGGGGAUAGAUUAUUGCAAUUAUUAAUCUUCAACGAGGAAUUCCUAGUAAGCGCAAGUCAUCAGCUUGCGUUGAUUACGUCCCUGCCCUUUGUACACACCGCCCGUCGCUCCUACCGAUUGAAUGGUCCGGUGAAGCGUUCGGACCGUGGCCUUUGGACGGUUCGCCGUCUGUUGGCUGCGGGAAGUUCGUUAAACCUUNUNAUUUAGNGGAAGGAGAANUCGUANCA
This 328-nucleotide ribosomal RNA is filed under the name uncultured eukaryote. RNAcentral describes it as "partial 18S ribosomal RNA". It matches the Rfam family "Eukaryotic small subunit ribosomal RNA", at positions 1470 to 1796 of the family's 1831-position model. The record is from RNAcentral.